CCUACGGUGUGCAGCAGUGGGGAAUAUUGCACACUGGGGGGAACCCUGAUGCAGCGACGCCGCGUGAGUGAAGAAGUAUCUCGGUACGUAAAGCUCUAUCAGCAGGGAAGAAAAUGACGGUACCUGACUAAGAAGCCCCGGCUAACUACGUGCCAGCAGCCGCGGUAAUACGUAGGGGGCAAGCGUUAUCCGGAUUUACUGGGUGUAAAGGGAGCGUAGACGGCACUGCAAGUCCGGAGUGAAAGCCUAAGGCUUAACCAUGGGACUGCCCUGGACACUGUGGAGCUUGAGUGCGGGAGGGGCAGGCGGAAUUCCUAGUGUAGCGGUGAAAUGCGUAGAUAUUAGGAGGAACACCGGCGGUGAAGGCGGCCUGCUGGACCGUAACUGACGUUGAGGCUCGAAAGCGUGGGGAGCAAACAGGAGUAGAUACCCUGGUAGUC
Molecule: ribosomal RNA, 440 nt
Filed under: uncultured bacterium
Lineage: Bacteria
Description: partial 16S ribosomal RNA
Rfam family: Bacterial small subunit ribosomal RNA
Source: RNAcentral